This 253-nucleotide ribosomal RNA is filed under the name uncultured bacterium. Its description in RNAcentral is "partial 16S ribosomal RNA". It matches the Rfam family "Bacterial small subunit ribosomal RNA", at positions 524 to 776 of the family's 1533-position model. The record is from RNAcentral.
UACAGAGGUCUCAAGCGUUGUUCGGAUUCAUUGGGCGUAAAGGGUGCGUAGGCGGCGCGGUAAGUCGGGUGUGAAAUCUCGGGGCUUAACUCCGAAACUGCAUUCGAUACUGCCGUGCUUGAGGACUGGAAAGGAGACUGGAAUUUACGGUGUAGCGGUGAAAUGCGUAGAUAUCGGAAGGAACAUCAGUGGCGAAAGCGACUUCCUGGACCAGUACCGACGUUCAGGCACGAAAGCGUGGGGAGCAAACAGG